RNAcentral lists this ribosomal RNA (289 nucleotides) under uncultured bacterium. Its description in RNAcentral is "partial 16S ribosomal RNA". It matches the Rfam family "Bacterial small subunit ribosomal RNA", at positions 29 to 297 of the family's 1533-position model. The record is from RNAcentral.
AGCGAACGCUGGCGGCGUGCUUAACACAUGCAAGUCGAGCGAAGGUGUUUCAAGGGUAACCUUGAGAUACACUUAGCGGCGGACGGGUGAGUAAUACGUGGAUAACUUACCUCUAGGCCUGGGAUAACCCCGGGAACUGGGGCUAAUACCUGAUAAGACCACAUUGUCUACGGACAAAGGGGUAAAGGUGGCUGUGCAAACAGCUAUCGCCAAAAGAUAGGUUCACGUCCCAUCAGGCAGUUGGUGAGGUAAUGGCUCACCAAACCAAAGACGGGUAGCCGGCCUUGGC